AAUCUUCCACAAUGGACGAAAGUCUGAUGUAGCAACGCCGCGUGAGCGAUGAAGGCCUUCGGGUCGUACAGCUCUGUUGUUAGGGAAGAACAAGUUCGAGAGUAACUGCUCGCACCUUGACGGUAUCUAACCAGAAAGGCACGGCUUACUACGUGUCCGCAGUCGCGGUAAUACGGAGGUGGCAAGCGUUGUCCGGAAUUAUUGGGCGUAAAGCGCGCGCAGGCGGUUUCUUAAGUCUGAUGUGAAAGCCCACGGCUCAAACGUGGAGGGUAAUUGGAAACUGGGAGACUUGAGUGCAGAAGAGGAGGGUGGAAUUCCACGUGUAGCGGUGAAAUGCGUAGAGAUGUAGAGGAACACCAGUGGCGAAGGCGACUCUCUGGUCUGUAACUGACGCUAAGGCGCGAAAGCGUGGGGAGCAAAC
Molecule: ribosomal RNA, 421 nt
Filed under: uncultured bacterium
Lineage: Bacteria
Description: partial 16S ribosomal RNA
Rfam family: Bacterial small subunit ribosomal RNA
Source: RNAcentral